RNAcentral lists this ribosomal RNA (486 nucleotides) under uncultured bacterium. RNAcentral describes it as "bacterial SSU rRNA". It matches the Rfam family "Bacterial small subunit ribosomal RNA", at positions 28 to 506 of the family's 1533-position model. The record is from RNAcentral.
GAUGAACGCUAGCUACAGGCUUAACACAUGCAAGUCGAGGGGCAGCGCAGUGUAGCAAUACAUGGGCGGCGACCGGCGCACGGGUGCGUAACGCGUAUCCAACCUUCCCGUUACUCAGGGAUAGCCUUCCGAAAGGGAGAUUAAUACCUGAUGGUAUCAGAAUUUCGCAUGUUAUUCUGAUUAAAGAUUUAUCGGUAACGGAUGGGGAUGCGUGACAUUAGGUAGAUGGCGGGGUAACGGCCCACCAUGCCUACGAUGUCUAGGGGUUCUGAGAGGAAGGUCCCCCANACUGGAACUGAGACACGGUCCAGACUCCUACGGGAGGCAGCAGUGAGGAAUAUUGGUCCAAUGGUCGGAAGACUGAACCAGCCAAGUAGCGUGAAGGAUGAAGGUUCUAUGGAUUGUAAACUUCUUUUAUACGGGAAUAAAACCACCUACGUGUAGGUACUUGUAUGUACCGUAUGAAUAAGCAUCGGCUAACUCCGU